UCCGCCAUAGUCUAGCUGGUUAGGAUACUCGGCUCUCACCCGAGCGACCCGGGUUCGAGUCCCGGUGGCGGAA
This 73-nucleotide transfer RNA is filed under the name Deltaproteobacteria bacterium. RNAcentral's name for it is "tRNA-Glu". It matches the Rfam family "tRNA". Rfam says of the family: Transfer RNA (tRNA) molecules are approximately 80 nucleotides in length. Their secondary structure includes four short double-helical elements and three loops (D, anti-codon, and T loops). Further hydrogen bonds mediate the characteristic L-shaped molecular structure. tRNAs have two regions of fundamental functional importance: the anti-codon, which is responsible for specific mRNA codon recognition, and the 3' end, to which the tRNAs corresponding amino acid is attached (by aminoacyl-tRNA synthetases). tRNAs cope with the degeneracy of the genetic code in two manners: having more than one tRNA (with a specific anti-codon) for a particular amino acid; and 'wobble' base-pairing, i.e. permitting non-standard base-pairing at the 3rd anti-codon position. Lineage: Bacteria; Pseudomonadati; Myxococcota; Myxococcia. The record is from RNAcentral.